UGGCGGCCGCGGGAUUCGAUUAGAGUUUGAUCCUGGCUCAGGACGCAACGCUGGCGGCAUGCCUAAUACAUGCAAGUCGAACGAUGAUAUCACUGCUUGCAGUGAUUGAUUAGUGGCGAACGGGUGAGUAACACGUGAGGAACUUGCCCAUGAGCGGGGGACAACAUUCGGAAACGGAUGCUAAUACCCCAUAGGUGGAUUGGUCGCAUGACUAAUUCAUUAAAGGUGGCUUUGCUACCACUCAUGGAUAGCCUCGCGGCGUAUUAGCUAGUUGGUAAGGUAAUGGCUUACCAAGGCAGUGAUACGUAGCCGACUUGAGAGGGUGAUCGGCCACACUGGGACUGAGACACGGCCCAGACUCCUACGGGAGGCAGCAGUAGGGAAUCUUCCACAAUGGGUGCAAACCUGAUGGAGCAAUGCCGCGUGAGUGAAGAAGUCUUCGGAUCGUAAAGCUCUGUUGUUAGAGAAGAACACGUGCUAGGUAACUACUAGCGCCUUGA
RNAcentral lists this ribosomal RNA (500 nucleotides) under uncultured Dolosigranulum sp. RNAcentral's name for it is "partial 16S ribosomal RNA". It matches the Rfam family "Bacterial small subunit ribosomal RNA", at positions 1 to 472 of the family's 1533-position model. The record is from RNAcentral. Lineage: Bacteria; Bacillati; Bacillota; Bacilli; Lactobacillales; Carnobacteriaceae.